AGUAGUUGAUCAUGGCUCAGGACGAACGCUGGCGGCGUGCCUAACACAUGCAAGUCGAGCGGGGACAUGCGACGGAGACGAAGUUUCGGAUGGAGUCGAAGAUGUGUGUUCUAGCGGCGGACGGGUGAGUAACGCGUGAGCAACCUGUCCUUCACAGGGGGAUAACACAGCGAAAGUUGUACUAAUACCGCAUAAGACCACAGGGGGGCAUCCUCCGGGGGUCAAAGGAGCAAUCCGGUGAAGGGUGGGCUCGCGUCCGAUUAGAUAGUUGGUGAGGUAACGGCCCACCAAGUCAACGAUCGGUAGCCGACCUGAGAGGGUGAUCGGCCACAUUGGGACUGAGACACGGCCCAAACUCCUACGGGAGGCAGCAGUGGGGAAUAUUGGGCAAUGGGGGGAACCCUGACCCAAGCAACGCCGCGUGAGGGAAGAAGGUUUUCGGAUCGUAAACCUCUGUCCUAUGUGAAGAGGAAGAGACGGUAGCAUAGGAGGAAGCCCCGGCUAACUACGUGCCAGCAGCAGC
Molecule: ribosomal RNA, 523 nt
Filed under: uncultured bacterium
Lineage: Bacteria
Description: bacterial SSU rRNA
Rfam family: Bacterial small subunit ribosomal RNA
Source: RNAcentral